GGAUUGGGCUAUUAUGGCUGGCUGAUGGCCCUGGGAGUGGGCUGUUAUUAUGGCUGGCUGAGGGCCCUGGGAGUGGGCUGUUAUUGUGGCUGGCUGAGGGCCCUGGGAGUGGGCUGUUAUUAUGGCUGGCUGAGGGCCCUGGGAGUGGGCUGUUAUUAUGGCUGGCUGAGGCCCCUGGGAGUGGGCUGUUAUUGUGGCUGGCUGAGGCCCCUGGGAGUGGGCUGUUAUUGUGGCUGGCUGAGGCCCC
Pelobates cultripes (western spadefoot toad) is the source of this 247-nucleotide non-coding RNA. NCBI's taxonomy places the organism in Eukaryota, Metazoa, Chordata, Amphibia, Anura, Pelobatidae. The record is from the annotation of a GenBank genome assembly.